Molecule: long non-coding RNA, 123 nt
Organism: Mustela erminea (ermine)
Lineage: Eukaryota; Metazoa; Chordata; Mammalia; Carnivora; Mustelidae
Exons: 3
Source: RefSeq, a predicted model, not a curated record
AGCUCCAGAGAAAGAGAAGAGAAGUGAGCUCUCAGUUCAGGGUUACCUUAAGCCAUGAUCCAAGGCUCAGUCGGGCCACCACUCUUCAAGCAGGAACCCCACAAUAGGCAGACCUGGGGAGAC